Molecule: long non-coding RNA, 1458 nt
Organism: Passer domesticus (house sparrow)
Lineage: Eukaryota; Metazoa; Chordata; Aves; Passeriformes; Passeridae
Exons: 3
Source: RefSeq, a predicted model, not a curated record
UCAGACACACACACAUGCACACAGAGUUUGCAGGGAAAAGAUGCUGACAUUUGCAGGCUGUGCUGUGCAGUUAUGGUCUGGACUUAACUCUUUGCCAGGUGGAAAAAAAUGCCUAAAGCCUGGAGUGAGGGCUGCAGCAACCCAGCAAUUCAAGAACUGAGCCCACUGUGUACUUCCUUUUAUACAAAAUGAUUGUCAAAGAUUUCCAGUUCUGAUUUCUGCUUUAUUUUCUCAAGAGAAUUAAAGCUGCUGCUAUGUGGGAAGCACAGGCUUGAAAGAUUUCCUGCCCCAUUCUGCUCUGUCCCACAUGGAGUGACAGACCCAUAGAUCCCACUGAAAUGGAUUAUUGCUGUAAAUGUGCCUCUCCUGUCUCAGGAUCUCCUCUGCUCAAGAUGACCCUGAGAUGUAUUAAAAGUUUCUUUUCCCCAACCCAGCUGUCGAAGAAGGAGUCAGAAGUCUUCGGCUGUAGUUUUUAAGGCUGUUUAUAAUUUCUUAUUUAAAUCAUUUUUUGUUUGGCCUGCUGAGGUUUGUCCAGCAGGUUAGUUUGUGGCAUAUUGCUUUCUUAUGGGGUUGGCGUUGCUUUUUAUAUUCUAAACUAGGUAUUUAUAGUUAUGUUCUAAUAUUUAUUACCUAUGUUAGACAGUGACUUUCUACUUUGCACCAAUCCCAAAGUACUACCAUCACCAAGAAGAUGGAGGCUAGGAAGAAGAAGGAAGAAGAACAGGACAAUGCCUAAAUCCUUCUGUCUUGCCUCUUAGACUCCUAUAGUAAAAAUCUUCAAAAUUUCACUGUUGAACUGAUGAAAACUACUAUUAUGCUACUUAAAAUUUUGUGACUUGUAAUUCUUCAUACAAGGUUGGUAAUUUGCUCCAUGGGUUAAGACCGAAAUCCUACGUGGUUUUGGCUUCUUGCCAGGGUCUCUGAGCCCCUGCCAGGAUUUUGAGGCAUCCAGGGCACCCAGAGGGAUCUCCUGGGUUCCGACUCUCCUGGACCCACUCUGUCUGUGGGCAGUUUCACAUCAGUGUUUCAACAAUAACCUAUGAAAGGCCUGAUGCUUGUAAGUGAAAUAAUUACUCUGAAAUUUUGACCAGCCCAUGGUGUUCCACAUGGAAAGAAAACACAGACGGGCCCACGAGGAUGGUCUUCCCUAUUGACUCUGAAAGUUACAGGAUGACACAGUAAAAAUCACUGUACGUGCUCUCAACUGUUCUCCAUAUGCUGUCACUUGGUAAGACAAAAGAGAAUCAGGUCACUUUCUUUACUUGUACAAGUUGUAAGCAGUAUUGCUGAAGAUCCCAUAUUUAUAAAUCUUUGAGUAGUUUGAAUCUAUUCUGCAGACUCCUUCUCUGUACAUCUCUAUUGAUUUAGUGUUUUUUACAGUUAUGUUUUUAAAGCAUGCCUCAUUUAUAAAUUCUGCAUUUAUUACCCUCUGUUCAGCUAAGCUGGGAUACAUUUCCA